UGACUCCGAACAGAUGUACAGUUAGGUCAGCUGAACAGAUGGAGGGUUGGAUUAGCUGAACAGAUGGAGGGUUAGGUUAGCUGAACAGAUGGAGGGUUGGGUUAGCUGAACAGAUGGAGGGUUGGGUUAGCUGAACAGAUGGAGGGUUGGGUUAGCUGAACAGAUGGAGGGUUGGGUUAGCUGAACAGAUGGAGGGUGGGUUAGCUGAAACAGAUGGAGGGUUGGGUUAGCUGAACAGAUGGAGGUU
Molecule: long non-coding RNA, 247 nt
Organism: Salvelinus sp. IW2-2015
Lineage: Eukaryota; Metazoa; Chordata; Actinopteri; Salmoniformes; Salmonidae
Source: RefSeq, a predicted model, not a curated record